GAUGAAGAACGCAGCGAAAUGCGAUAAGUAGUGUGAAUUGCAGAAUUCAGUGAAUCAUCGAAUCUUUGAACGCACAUUGCGCCCCCUGGUAUUCCGGGGGGCAUGCCUGUUCGAGCGUCAUUUCACCACUCAAGCCUCGCUUGGUAUUGGGCAACGCGGUCCGCCGCGUGCCUCAAAUCGACCGGCUGGGUCUUCUGUCCCCUAAGCGUUGUGGAAACUAUUCGCUAAAGGGUGCUCGGGAGGCUACGCCGUAAAACAAACCCAUUUCUAAGGUUGACCUCGGAUCAGGUAGGGAUACCCGCUGAACUUAAGCAUAUCAAUAAGCGGAGGA
This 331-nucleotide unclassified non-coding RNA is filed under the name soil metagenome. RNAcentral describes it as "partial contains 5.8S ribosomal RNA, internal transcribed spacer 2, and large subunit ribosomal RNA". The stretch from base 1 to 120 matches the Rfam family "5.8S ribosomal RNA", at positions 35 to 154 of the family's 154-position model. The record is from RNAcentral.